GAUGAACGCUGGCAGCAUGCUUAACACAUGCAAGUCGACUGGAACCUCGGGUUGUGUGGCGGACGGGUGAGUAACGCGCAGGGAACUUGCCUGAGAGAAAGGGACACCAUAUGGAAACGAAUGCUAAUACAUGCUAUUAUGAUACUAUGGCAGCGUAUAAGUAUGAUAGCUUUAUGGGCUGUGGGAGAGCUUUGCGUCCCAGUAGCUAGUUGGAGAGGUAACGGCUCACCAAGGGGAUGAUGGGUAGCCGGCCUGGGAGGGGGCUCGGCCACAAGGGGCCUGAGACACGGCCCGAACUCCUCCGGGAGGCAACGUUGGGGAUUUUUCGCCAAGGGACCAAGCGUCUUGUCCAGCAAUUCUGUGUGCACGAAGAAGUUUUUCGUAAUGUACAGCGCUUUCAGGGGAGAAGAAGAAAAUGACGGUACCUACAGAAGAAGCGACGGCUAACUACGUG
This 454-nucleotide ribosomal RNA is filed under the name uncultured bacterium. RNAcentral describes it as "partial 16S ribosomal RNA". It matches the Rfam family "Bacterial small subunit ribosomal RNA", at positions 28 to 507 of the family's 1533-position model. The record is from RNAcentral.